RNAcentral lists this ribosomal RNA (596 nucleotides) under Sporisorium sp. RNAcentral's name for it is "eukaryotic LSU rRNA". It matches the Rfam family "Eukaryotic large subunit ribosomal RNA", at positions 80 to 658 of the family's 3401-position model. Lineage: Eukaryota; Fungi; Basidiomycota; Ustilaginomycetes; Ustilaginales; Ustilaginaceae. The record is from RNAcentral.
CUAGUACGGCGAGUGAAGAGGGAAGAGCCCAAGAUUGAAAGCUGGCGUCUUCGGCGUCCGCAUUGUAAUCUCAAGAAGUGUUUUCCGCUUCGGACCAUGCCUAAGUCCCUUGGAAAAGGGCAUCAUAGAGGGUGAUAAUCCCGUUCAUGGCAUGGAGCGCCCGAAGCUUUGUGAUACGCUUUCUAAGAGUCGAGUUGUUUGGGAAUGCAGCUCAAAAUGGGUGGUAAAUGCCAUCUAAGGCUAAAUAUUGGGGAGAGACCGAUAGCGAACAAGUACAGUGAUGGAAAGAUGAAAAGAACUUUGAAAAGAGAGUUAAACAGUACGUGAAAUUGCCAAAAGGGAAGGGUAGGAGGUCAGAGAUGCGUCUUGGAAUUCAGCCUUGCUUCUGCUUGGUGUUUUUUCCAAGUUGCAGGCCAACGUCGGUUUUGGGCACUGGAGAAGGGUGGAAGGAAUGUGGCACCUCUCGGGGUGUGUUAUAGCCUUCUACUGGAUACAGCGACCGAGACCGAGGACAGCAGCGUACUCGUAAGAGCGGGCCUUCGGGCACCUUUACGCUUAGGGCGUUGGCAUAAUGGCCCUCUACCACCCGUCUUGAA